RNAcentral lists this ribosomal RNA (425 nucleotides) under uncultured bacterium. Its description in RNAcentral is "bacterial SSU rRNA". It matches the Rfam family "Bacterial small subunit ribosomal RNA", at positions 354 to 796 of the family's 1533-position model. The record is from RNAcentral.
GUGGGGAAUAUUGGACAAUGGGCGCAAGCCUGAUCCAGCCAUGCCGCGUGAGUGAUGAAGGCCUUAGGGUUGUAAAGCUCUUUCAGUGGGGACGAUAAUGACGGUACCCACAGAAGAAGCCCCGGCUAACUUCGUGCCAGCAGCCGCGGUAAUACGAAGGGGGCUAGCGUUGUUCGGAUUUACUGGGCGUAAAGCGCACGUAGGCGGAUCGUUAAGUCGGGGGUGAAAUCCUGGAGCUCAACUCCAGAACUGCCUUCGAUACUGGCGAUCUUGAGUCCGGAAGAGGUGAGUGGAACUCCUAGUGUAGAGGUGGAAUUCGUAGAUAUUAGGAAGAACACCAGUGGCGAAGGCGGCUCACUGGUCCGGUACUGACGCUGAGGUGCGAAAGCGUGGGGAGCAAACAGGAUUAGAAACCCCGGUAGUCC